RNAcentral lists this non-coding RNA (83 nucleotides) under Salegentibacter flavus. Lineage: Bacteria; Pseudomonadati; Bacteroidota; Flavobacteriia; Flavobacteriales; Flavobacteriaceae. The record is from RNAcentral.
AGAUCUCCAUAGCCACGGGAUGGCUUGGUGGAGAAGUCAGCCGAAGUCGUAGUAGCCAGCCACCUGAUAGGCUGGUGAAGGAC